AGAAUCAACGCUGGCGGCGUGCCUAAUACAUGCAAGUCGUACGCGAAAGCGGCCUUCGGGUCGUGAGUAGAGUGGCAAACGGGUGAGUAACGCGUGGGUGACCUGCCUUCGAGUGGGGGAUAACUCUCCGAAAGGAGGGCUAAUACCGCAUAACAUCCCGCCCUUGGAUGGGUGGAGAUCAAAGCCGGGGAUCGCAAGACCUGGUGCUUGAAGAGGGACCCGCGUCCGAUUAGCUUGUUGGUGGGGUAGUGGCCUACCAAGGCUUCGAUCGGUAGCCGGCCUGAGAGGGCGGACGGCCACACUGGGACUGAGACACGGCCCAGACUCCUACGGGAGGCAGCAGUAGGGAAUUGUUCGCAAUGGGCGCAAGCCUGACGACGCAACGCCGCGUGGAGGACGAAGAUCUUCGGGUUGUAAACUCCUGCCGAGCGGGACGAAUAGUGCACGGGUUAAUACCUCGUGCGCCUGACGGUACCGCUAAAGGAAGCCCCGGCUAACUCCGUGCCAGCAGCCGCGGUAAUACGGGGGGGGCAAGCGUUGUUCGGAAUUACUGGGCGUAAAGGGCUCGUAGGCGGCCAGCCAAGUCGGACGUGAAAUCCCCAGGCUCAACCUGGGAACUGCGUCCGAUACUGGUUGGCUUGAAGUCGGGAGAGGGAUGCGGAAUUCCAGGUGUAGCGGUGAAAUGCGUAGAUAUCUGGAGGAACACCGGUGGCGAAGGCGGCAUCCUGGACCGAUCUUGACGCUGAGGAGCGAAAGCUAGGGGAGCAAACGGGAUUAGAUACCCCGGUAGUCCUAGCCCUAAACGAUGAAUGCUUGGUGUGGCGGGUAUCGAUCCCUGCCGUGCCGGAGCUAACGCAUUAAGCAUUCCGCCUGGGGAGUACGGUCGCAAGGCUG
This 894-nucleotide ribosomal RNA is filed under the name uncultured bacterium. RNAcentral describes it as "bacterial SSU rRNA". It matches the Rfam family "Bacterial small subunit ribosomal RNA", at positions 26 to 896 of the family's 1533-position model. The record is from RNAcentral.